GUCCUUUGAUGGCCUGACAGCGUACCUCUUGCAUAAUGGGUCUGUGACUUAAUGUAUCAAGCAAGCUUAAGCCGAUAGGUGUAGGCGCAGCGAAAGCGAGUCUGAAUAGGGCGACAGAGUUUGAUGUAUUAGACCCGAAACCCGGCGAUCUAGGCAUGACCAGGAUGAAGGUGCAGUAACAUGCACUGGAGGUCCGAACCGAUUAACGUUGAAAAGUUACCGGAUGAGUUGUGUUUAGGGGUGAAAGGCCAAUCAAGCCGGGAAAUAGCUGGUUCUCCGCGAAAACUAUUGAGGUAGUGCCUCGAGCGAAUACCUCUAGGGGGUAGAGCACUGGAUGGGCGGGGGUCGCGAGAUCUACCAACACUAACCAAACUCCGAAUACCUAGGAGUACUACUCGGGAGACAGACGGCGGGUGCUAAGGUCCGUCGUCAAAAGGGAAACAGCCCUGACCUACAGCUAAGGUCCCCAAGUCGUGUCUAAGUGGGAAAGCAUGUGGGAAUUCCAAAACAACCAGGAGGUUGGCUUAGAAGCAGCCAUCCUUUAAAGAAAGCGUAACAGCUCACUGGUCUAAUCAAGAGUUCCUGCGGCGAAGAUGUAACGGGGCUCAAGACACUGCACCGAAGCUUAGGGUGUGAUCAUAUGUCACGCGGUAGCGGAGCGUUCCGUAAGCCUGUGAAGCGAUCUGGUAAUGGGUCGUGGAGGUAUCGGAAGUGCGAAUGCAGACAUGAGUAGCGAUAAAGAGGGUGAGAUGCCCUCUCGCCGAAAGACCAAGGGUUCCUGCGCAAGGCUAAUCCGCGCAGGGUGAGCCGGCCCCUAAGACGAGCCCGAAGGGGGUAGUCGAUGGGAACCACGUUAAUAUUCCGCAGCCUGGUGGUGUGUGACGGAUGGUGUGUGUUGUUCGGCCUUAUCGGAUUGGCCGGGCUUCGAAACUGUCCCAGGAAACAGCCCCACCGUAUAGACCGUACCCGAAACCGACACAGGUGGUCAGGUAGAGUAUACCAAGGCGCUUGAGAGAAGUGUCCUGAAGGAACUCGGCAAAUUGCCUCCGUACCUUCGGAAGAAGGAGGCCCUCACAGCGGGCAACCGUUAUGAGGGGGCACAGGCCAGGGGGUAGCGACUGUUUAGCAAAAACACAGGGCUCUGCUAAGUCGGCUUCAAGACGACGUAUAGGGUCUGACGCCUGCCCGGUGCCUGAAGGUUAAGUGGAGGGGUGCAAGCUCUGAAAUGAAGCCCAGGUAAACGGCGGCCGUAACUAUAACGGUCCUAAGGUAGCGAAAUUCCUUGUCGAAAUUCCUUGUCGGGUAAGUUCCGACCUGCACGAAUGGCGUAACGACUUCCCCACUGUCUCCAGGACAUGCUCAGCGAAAUUGAAUUCUCCGUGAAGAUGCGGAGUACCCGCGGUUAGACGGAAAGACCCCGUGCACCUUUACUGCAGCUUCAGAGUGGCAUUAGGAAGGAACUGUGUAGCAUAGGUGGGAGGCUUUGAAGCGAGGCGCCAGCUGUGUGGAGCCAUAGGUGAAAUACCACCCUGUUGUUUUCUGAUGUCUAACCUCGUUCCCUGAAGCCGGACAGGGACCCUCUGUGGCGGGUAGUUUGACUGGGGCGGUCGCCUCCUAAAGAGUAACGGAGGCGCGCGAUGGUUGGCUCAGGCCGGUUGGAAACCGGCUGUUCAGAGUGCAAUGGCAUAAGCCAGCCUGACUGCGAGACUGACAAGUCGAGCAGAGACGAAGUCGGUCAUAGUGAUCCGGUGGUCCCUCGUGGAAGGGCCAUCGCUCAACGGAUAAAAGGUACGCCGGGGAUAACAGGCUGAUAACCCCCAAGAGCUCAUAUCGACGGGGUUGUUUGGCACCUCGAUGUCGGCUCAUCACAUCCUGGGGCUGGAGCAGGUC
This 1890-nucleotide ribosomal RNA is filed under the name Fraxinus excelsior (European ash). Its description in RNAcentral is "bacterial LSU rRNA". It matches the Rfam family "Bacterial large subunit ribosomal RNA", at positions 580 to 2564 of the family's 2925-position model. The record is from RNAcentral. Lineage: Eukaryota; Viridiplantae; Streptophyta; Magnoliopsida; Lamiales; Oleaceae.